GUGCCAGCCGCCGCGGUAAUACGGAGGGUGCGAGCGUUGUCCGGAAUCACUGGGCGUAAAGGGCGCGUAGGUGGUCGGGUAAGCGUGUGGUGAAAGCUCGGGGCUCAACCCCGAGUCGGCCAUGCGAACUGCUCGACUUGAGCACUGUAGAGGCAGACGGAAUUCCGGGUGUAGCGGUGGAAUGCGUAGAGAUCCGGAAGAACACCGGUGGCGAAGGCGGUCUGCUGGGCAGUUGCUGACACUGAGGCGCGACAGCGUGGGGAGCAAACAGGAUUAGAAACCCCUGUAGUCC
Molecule: ribosomal RNA, 292 nt
Filed under: uncultured bacterium
Lineage: Bacteria
Description: partial 16S ribosomal RNA
Rfam family: Bacterial small subunit ribosomal RNA
Source: RNAcentral